CAGCGGAUGAGCCCAGAGAAAGGCACCCCGCCCUCCGUCCCUGGUGGCUGCCGGGCUCGGGGUCCGCACAGACCGCGCUGGAAAGGGAUAGUCCGGGAAGAUGCGCGUCCCACGCACCACACUGCUUGGAGGUGGAGGAGACCCGCGCGCUGGCAGGAGCUGACGCUGCGUCCCCAGCUUGUCCCCCUCGAAUAGCCUCCACCUACCGGGGCCAACUGCUUGAGGUCAGCCAGUGGGCAGGGGAGCUCACCACCAGCCAGCCGUCAUCCAGCCAAGUCGGUGGCGAGAAUCCACCCUGUGGUUCUGGAUGCAAGCCAGACACACCUCCAGGCUUAGGGCGGUCUCUGCAGGCGUGUUGGACUUCAGUGCGCUCCGACACCCAGCUUUUGAAUGCCCUGCUCCCAGCCCGGUAAACAAGCACCCAUGAGGCCCGCCGCCCGACCGGAAAAAAGUAGUCCCCUGCAACUCUCAAAGCUUCUCCCACUCCCGCUUCUCUGGGCGACUGGCACCCCCUCUCCUGUCCUCAAGGUGUCAGACUUCCCUUGCAAGAGCUGGAGGAUGCGGCUUGCCACUAGUGUCAACAAUCAAAACAGUCGCAAUGAAUAAAUGAUGAGCCACAGCGUUCCAACCACCCUCAUCCAGCUUGGUCUUUCCAAAAGGCAUAGGAAAUCAGCAAGUUUCCACCAAAUAUACCAAAACCCUAAGACGCGAGCCAGCCCAAGGGUGCAAGGUUCUGCGGCUGCAGGUGCCUAUGAAACUGCAAUAAAUACAUAACAGAAGAGAACACCAAGGAGAGCACUAUAUAUGUCAACCAUCUGAGCAGGCUGUAUUCCCACGGAAAGAAGAAUUUGUAUUGAUCACUGAGCCUCCUUUUCAACAGUUUCAUGUGAUUAUUGAUUGCUGGUCUCAGGUCUCCUACAAAAUGAUUAGCAAUUACAGGAAAAUUAUUUGAAAUCUGUUUAAACAAUCUGGUGAAUUGCAUAUACUACAGUCAUUAGCAAUCCAAAGAGUUUAUUUUUAACAAUUUAAACAUAUGAGUUUGGCAGCAUUCUACGAACCUGCACUCCACAUAAAAUGCAAUUCAUUGAAGUCAAAGAAAUUUACAAUAAAAUGUUAUAUGCUAUCUAGAAUUUAUUUUAGUACCUUAUUAAACAGAACAAGAAAGCACUCAUGUUUCCAAAUUAGCAAGAGACAAGUGACCCAAGAAAUGAU
Molecule: long non-coding RNA, 1212 nt
Filed under: Homo sapiens (human)
Lineage: Eukaryota; Metazoa; Chordata; Mammalia; Primates; Hominidae
Description: PREDICTED lncRNA (TCONS_00067801)
Source: RNAcentral